This 301-nucleotide ribosomal RNA is filed under the name uncultured bacterium. RNAcentral describes it as "partial 16S ribosomal RNA". It matches the Rfam family "Bacterial small subunit ribosomal RNA", at positions 509 to 807 of the family's 1533-position model. The record is from RNAcentral.
CAGUCGCCGCGGGAAUACGAAGGGGGCUAGCGUUGUUCGGAAUUACUGGGCGUAAAGCGCACGUAGGCGGACUUUUAAGUCAGGGGUGAAAUCCCGGGGCUCAACCUCGGAACUGCCUUUGAUACUGGAAGUCUUGAGUGUGGAAGAGGUAAGUGGAAUUGCGAGUGUAGAGGUGAAAUUCGUAGAUAUUCGCAGGAACACCAGUGGCGAAGGCGGCUUACUGGUCCACAACUGACGCUGAGGUGCGAAAGCGUGGGGAGCAAACAGGAUUAGAUACCCGUGUAGUCCCUGUCUCUUAUAC